AGUGAACGCUGGCGGUAGGCCUAACACAUGCAAGUCGAACGGCAGCACAGUAAGAGCUUGCUCUUACGGGUGGCGAGUGGCGGACGGGUGAGGAAUACAUCGGAAUCUACUUUUUCGUGGGGGAUAACGUAGGGAAACUUACGCUAAUAACGCAUACGACCUACGGGUGAAAGCAGGGGAUCCUCGGACCUUGCGCGAUUGAAUGAGCCGAUGUCGGAUUAGCUAGUUGGCGGGGUAAAGGCCCACCAAGGCGACGAUCCGUAGCUGGUCUGAGAGGAUGAUCAGCCACACUGGAACUGAGACACGGUCCAGACUCCUACGGUAGGCAGCAGUGGGGAAUAUUGGACAAUGGGCGCAAGCCUGAUCCAGCCAUACCGCGUGGGUGAAGAAGGCCUUCGGGUUGUAAAGCCCUUUUGUUGGGAAAGAAAAGCAGCAGGUUAAUACCCCGCUGUUCUGACGGUACCCAAAGAAUAAGCACCGGCUAACUUCGUG
This 492-nucleotide ribosomal RNA is filed under the name uncultured bacterium. Its description in RNAcentral is "partial 16S ribosomal RNA". It matches the Rfam family "Bacterial small subunit ribosomal RNA", at positions 29 to 507 of the family's 1533-position model. The record is from RNAcentral.